GAAGCACGCCGGACCGCCGCUGGUGCAAGUCUCGAAAGAGCGCACUGGAGGAACGUCCGGACUGCACAGGACAGCGCAGGAGCUAACGGCUCUCCACCGCGAGGUGAGGAUCAGAGCAACAGAGACGAGCCGAUUCAGUUCGGGUGAAACGGGCAAUCUCUGCGCGCAGCAACACCAAGUAGGCCAGCGUCGAUGUGGUUCCGCAGAGCUGGCGGGUAGGUGGCAUCGAGCCGUCUGGUGACAGGCGGCCCAGAGUAAUGGCGGUCACGCUGGGGUUCGAGAGGAUCUCAGUGCACAGAAUCCGGCUUACAGGCGUGCUUCACAC
This 325-nucleotide RNase P RNA is filed under the name Variovorax sp. RNAcentral describes it as "RNase P RNA component class A". It matches the Rfam family "Bacterial RNase P class A". Rfam says of the family: Ribonuclease P (RNase P) is a ubiquitous endoribonuclease, found in archaea, bacteria and eukarya as well as chloroplasts and mitochondria. Its best characterised activity is the generation of mature 5'-ends of tRNAs by cleaving the 5'-leader elements of precursor-tRNAs. Lineage: Bacteria; Pseudomonadati; Pseudomonadota; Betaproteobacteria; Burkholderiales; Comamonadaceae. The record is from RNAcentral.